AGCAGCCGCGGUAAUACCAGCGGUCCAAGUGGGACUCAAUUUUACUGGGUCUAAAACAUCCGUAGCCGGCUUUGCAAGUUUCUUGUUAAAUUAUUGCUCUUAAGGUAAUAGCUGCAAGAAAUACUGUGAGGCUAGAGACUGGGAGACGUAGCGAGUACAGCAGAGGUAAUAGUAAAAUAUGUUAAUCUUUGUUGGACUAACAAUGGCGAAGGCACACUACGAGAACAGAUCUGACGGUCAGGGAUGAAGGCCAGGGGCGCAAAACGGAUUAGAUACCCGUGUAGUCCUGGCUGUAAACGCUGCCUACCAAACAUCGUGAUCUCCUCGAGAGAUGGCGGUGCUGAAACGAAGGUGUAAGUAGGCUACCUGGGAAGUAUAGCCGCAAGGCCGAAACUUAAAGGAAUUGGCGGGGAAGCACUACAACGAGUGACGCGUGCGGUUCAAUUAGAUUCUACCCCGUGAACCUCACCAGGAGCGACAGCAGAAUGAAGGUCAGUCUGAAGGGCUUACCUGACACGCUGAGAGGAGUUGCAUGGCCGACGUCAGCCUGUGUCGUGAGAUGAUCUGUUAAAUCAGGUAACAGGCGAGACCUGCAUGCAUAGUUGCUCUUCGGUAAGAAAGCUACUCUAUGCAGACUGCUCCCGCAAGGGAGAGGAAGGUGCAGGCAACGUUAGGUGAGUACGGCCCGAAUCCCCUGGGCGACACGCGCGCGGCAAUGGUAGUAACAAUGAGUUGCAAUGCCGAAAGGCAAAGCUAAUCCCCUAAAUACUACCCUAGUUCAGAUUGAGGCUUGCAACCCAGCCUCAUGACGCUGGAAUUCGUAGUAAUCGGUUUUUAGCAGAGACCGGUGAAUAAUGUCCCUGCUUCU
Molecule: ribosomal RNA, 868 nt
Filed under: uncultured euryarchaeote
Lineage: Archaea; Methanobacteriati; Methanobacteriota
Description: bacterial SSU rRNA
Rfam family: Archaeal small subunit ribosomal RNA
Source: RNAcentral